This 4040-nucleotide long non-coding RNA is filed under the name Homo sapiens (human). RNAcentral describes it as "HSALNT0403945". The record is from RNAcentral. Lineage: Eukaryota; Metazoa; Chordata; Mammalia; Primates; Hominidae.
AGAGCUGUGUCCUGUUUCCAGGCACAGCAAGGACAGCUGGGUUCAGACUGAAGCAAGACCCGAAAUGGAUGCCCUGUUGGAGAGCAUUGGUGAUUUACCCUACAGGCAACCAUUGGCUCAUUUUGUGCUACAGGAAAGGGGUUGUGCCAAUUCACAUGCUCACUGGCGGUACACAAGAGUCCCACAGCCUCCACCAAAGAGUGAGUUACCCAACUCUGCAUUUUUCUCCCAAUCUCAGUGUAAUCGAAUUUGAAUAUCUAUUCCUAUGUUUAAGAAAGAGGAUUUAAAGAGUUCUGGUUUUGUCUCCUAAAAGGAAAAAAAAAAUGCAUCUGGAACCUCCAUGUUACUUGUUUACAUUUAAGGAUAAAUGAAAAAUGCAGUAAUUUCCCGUAAUGUCCACAAAAUCAGUGACUUGCCGAAGUCCACACACCUUUCCCUAUCUGGAAAGAAGCUUCUGUGGAAGGCCUCUGUUUCCCAGGAUACCUCACUUCCCACCGUCCCAGGGACAGGCUGUGAGAUCCCACUCCUCCACACUCCCCACUGUUGACUCCCCACAGUCAGCUCCCCUCUGAGUGCCCAGCCUGGGCUCCAGUAGUUUAUUUAAAAGCAUGACGAGCCCUCUAAUUAUGGAGAUAAAAGCUGCCUGUGAUGCAGAGCAGGGCUUGGGUUGAAAGGUCUCUUUUUUGGCUCUUUCCCAUCUCAUUAGAGUUGCGGGGGUGGCUGGUCACCCCAAGGUUUAAUCCUUGGAGGCAGUGUGACAGCAAAUGUGGCAAGAAUCACAGCUCAUUGAUUGUUCCAUUAAAAAUUUCUACAGGUACCUGUAAAAGUGCCUUUCAAGUUGCUUCAGUCUGAAGAAUCUUAUUGCUCCUAAAUUGAGGUCAAUUAAUCCCCUGAAAAUGUGUGGCAUUCACAAUUUGAUGUCAUGGCCUCCAUGUGAACAUCUCUCUCUGCAUGGAUGGAGGAAGCGAACAGCUCUUCCUUCUUCCUGCCUUUCCCACUUCCCCUAAAUCUAAAGAGCAAUUCUCUGCCUUUGCGAGCAUAGGCUGGUGAGAGCAGGGAGAGCAAGACCACACUGCUCAGCAGCCGUGUUUACCAUCUGAUCAUCAUGGAGGGACAACUGAGUGCACAGUGUCCUUCCAUCCAUCAUUGCAAGACCAGGGAAGGAAAUUUGGCCCUCGGGCAGGCUGUAGCCCAGGAAAAAGGCUAUCCUCAGAAGGCCAGCCGCCUUCUCUAGUUUGCAAACAGCACAGAUUUAGAGCUUGCGUUCCUUCUCAUCCCAGGAACCACAUAUGAGCACCUCUCCCUGCCAUGGUUCUCACGAUGCCUGGAUGGUCCUUAUUUAAGUAUUGAAUCAGGAGAGGGCAAGAGGCUUCACCCAAGACGGCUGUGAGGUGGGGAUGCUUGAGCUGCCCGCAUCUGCUGGUCAAUGUGUCACCUCCAUCCUCUAACCCAGAGAGCAUUUCUCUUCAUUUCCUCUGCUUCUUGCUCCCUACAUUCAACACUCUGACCUCACUCUGCCAUCUCUCAAAAGCUAACCCCAGACUCCUCUUCUCAGUACAGGGCUCUGGUGACCAGGGAGACUGGGAUGUGAUGAGCAGGGCCUUGGGAGCCAGUUAUAGAGAGUUAAGUCCUGGCUUGGUCAUUUACAAUCCCUGAGUACUUUAACUUUUCUGAAAUGUAGUUUCUUCAUCUGCAAAAUGGGCUAGUAAUACCAAUGUGCAACAGCAAUAGGUGAGGAUUGAAGGAGACAUUUAGGAAGUCUCUGGCCCCAUACAGAGUACUCAUGGCAGCUGUGAAAGUGUGCUUCCCGGGUGGAGGAUGAGCCCAUCUACUGGUCCUUUGGAUCCACUAGUGGGUUUGCUUGGAGGUCACACUUACCACAGCUGCUCCCAGGUGGUGACUGGGCCCUACAGGGAUGCGAAGACAGGCCCAUUCCAGAGAGAUGUGGGAUUUCUCUGACAGACAGUUGUGGCUCAAGGACUCUCCCUGAGCCUUGCUAGAACUUUCUUGGAGCUGUGCUGCAGUGUCUAGACAAGCUUCCUUCCUUUCCUCCUCCUCCUUCCCUCUGACCUUCACAGGGCCAGACCUGCACCAUAGCUUGAGGGUUCUCCCACCUUCUUGGCCCCUUCCAGACCGUGUCUCCCAAGAAAUCCCUCAGGUGUCUAAUCCCAUCUUGGUAUCUGUUUCUGGAAGACCCAAACUACACAGCACUCAAACCAUUUUAGUUCCAUCUCCUUUUUGCUAAAUAUAUAGUUUAAAGGCUGUGUUUAAGGAUUACCUAGAAAUCAUUUUAGGGUAUAAUGACAUGUUAUUUAUUUAUUUUAAAAUUAUGUUUGCUCCACUUGGUGAAAAUUUCUGUAAGUACCUCUGAGAUCAUGGAUCCUGGGGCUUCACUGAGCAUCAACCUUUGGGGAACUGCUUCUAAUGCUGAUAAAAGUGUCAGGAUCUUUCCUUGUUGACUGGGACUGGCAUUUUUUAUGUGAGGGCAGGAGAACAGCGUUAGCAUCUCUGCAGGUGUUGUGCUGCCCCAAACCAGCAUCUUUCUUCACAGGGGGGCUAGAGAGGGUGGGGGGCCACUUCAGGCCCUAGAACCUUUGGGUGCAUGAAUAGAAGUGCCAUCAGCCUCUUUGCGGUCUCAGAAGACAGUACUCUUUUGCUCUAUCUGAUUUUUUUUUUUUAAGGAAUCUUACCUCCUUGGUGCUAAGUGGUGACAGAUACUUUGACACUUACUUCUUUUGCCCCAUAAAUCAGCCCUGGGUCCUGGGCAGCUUAGAAUCAUGAGACCAUAAAAAUAUGAAAUGACAAAGCAUGGAGUGGUCUUAGAGAUAAUUAAAUUGACCUGCCUUACUUGAUACUUGAGGAAAGAGGCCUAGAGUACAUCAGAAGUGAAUCUACCCUUGACUUCCUUUUUAAAAAAUCCAUCCAUUCAUGCAUUCACCUACCAGUCCAUUCAUCCAACCAGCCAUCCAUCUAUCCAUCCAUCCAUUCCUCCAUCCACCCAUCUAACCUUCCAUCCAUCUACCCACUCAUCCAUCCAUCCAUCCAUCCACCCACCAAACCACAUAAUUCAUCCACCUACCCAUCCAUCCAUUCAACCAUCCAUCCAUCCACACACCAAAUUACCACAUAAUUCAUCCAUCCACCCAUUUACCCACCCACCUAUUUACCUGUCCAUUAAUCCAUCUAUCCAUCCACCCACCUAUCUACCCAUCCAUCUAUCCACCCACACAUCUACAAAUCCAUCCAUCCAUCCAUCCAUCCAUCCACUCAUCAAUUUGCCCCAUCGUCCAUCCAUCCAUCCAUCCAUCAAUUUACAUACCAGAGGUAGACCCUGAAAAUAAAAAGAUGAAUAAGAUGUGGUCUCUACCUCCUGGGGCUCUCCCAGUCCAGCAUUCCCUUCCAUUGCUUUAAAGGGCUCAAUUCAAUCUUGUCUCUGAAAUGGGCCAUGUCACCGUUCACUAAGCAUCUUCCAGUGCCAGCCUUUCAGAUUCCAUCAACAACACAUUGGCUGUGGGCAUGCAGGUCAUGAGAACAAGGUCAGCAGCAUACGCCUGCCCAUUGCUCCCCAGAGGAAGGAACUCCAAUGUCCAGGGUCUGGGGGAUCUGUGCUUCCAGCUUGGCAGGCUCUCCCAGCAGAGAGCAACCACUUUUAAACUUCUGCUUCUCCCUACUUUCCAUCCUUCUCCCUUCUCUUCCUUCUCCACAUUGUCCUGGUAGCUUACCAUUCCCAAUCCUGCUCCCCUCAAGCACGUUAGCUUUGAGGCCAUCCAGAGAUCGAUUCAUCUCAUGGUCCUGUUUUUCCCAUUGCCUUUCACAUCAGAGACCUUUUCUCUCUUCGAGCAAACCAAUUUCCUUCUGUGAUUACUGCUUGGAUAGAAAGGACUCUGUUGUGUGGUGUGGGGAGUUCAGGAGGAUGGUGGGCACUGAGCCAUUACCAAGUUUGCACUUGUUGCCUUCUGGCCAAGGACCCAGAAUGUUUAUUCAAAGGAGCAAUUUUUAAAUAAGACACUGACACCAGUAUCUGGUCUAAGAGAAGAGCA